UAUAGCUCAGUGGUAGAUAGAGCACGUGCUUAGCAUGCACGAGGUCCUGGGCUCAAUUCCCCAGUA
Molecule: transfer RNA, 66 nt
Filed under: Camelus bactrianus (Bactrian camel)
Lineage: Eukaryota; Metazoa; Chordata; Mammalia; Artiodactyla; Camelidae
Also listed under: 1 other name
Rfam family: tRNA
About the family: Transfer RNA (tRNA) molecules are approximately 80 nucleotides in length. Their secondary structure includes four short double-helical elements and three loops (D, anti-codon, and T loops).
Source: Rfam by way of RNAcentral